RNAcentral lists this long non-coding RNA (376 nucleotides) under Medicago truncatula (barrel medic). RNAcentral describes it as "lncRNA gene7594". The record is from RNAcentral. Lineage: Eukaryota; Viridiplantae; Streptophyta; Magnoliopsida; Fabales; Fabaceae.
UUUUUAGAUACAUUUUUUGUAAAAGUGAGUUGAAUAAAAAAAAUUGGGUGUAAAAAUUAAUUUUAGAAUCAAAAAUUUUAAUUUACAACUUCAAGCUAGAAUCAAUUAGUCAACUUUAAAACAACCAAAUAUGUCAGAAUUAAUUCUAUACCUCUAAAAUCAAUUUUGUCCCCUCAAAAAGCUAAACCAAACAUACAUUAAAACUUAGAGAAGAUUGAUGACUCCACAUACAACACUUAUUCCAUGAAAGGAAAUAUUUUUCAUGUAAGUAUUUAUUCCCGUUAAUCCAUAAAAACAAAUUCAACAGAAGAGCACAUAAAAGACUAAUUGGAUGAUAAAAACCAAUAGAAUUGAGAGAGAGAAAACACUUUUUAUU